Mytilus trossulus (common blue mussel) is the source of this 1238-nucleotide long non-coding RNA. RefSeq lists it as uncharacterized. NCBI's taxonomy places the organism in Eukaryota, Metazoa, Mollusca, Bivalvia, Mytilida, Mytilidae. The transcript is spliced from 2 exons. The record is from RefSeq and is a predicted model, not a curated record.
UGCACUCUUAUACCAGCCGAUGGUGAAAAACCCGCUUUUUUAAUUCCACAAUCUAAAGGAUUUAAAAUUUUAUGUUAUUCUUAUUUUCAGAAAAGACUACGGGACAUUUUAGAAAAGUGUGGUUUAAAUUCUUCCAAAUUUUCCUCUCAUUCUUUUCGGAGAGGAGGGGCUACAUGGGCUUUUCACAGUAAAGUUCCUUCCGAGUUGAUACAAUUUCACGGGGAUUGGCGUAGUGAUGCAUAUAAAGUUUAUUUAGAAUUUGAUUUACAUGACAAAUUGUCUAUUUCACGAGCUAUGGCUGAUGAGAUUCUGAAUUAAUAUUGUUUGUUUAUCUUAUCUUAUUUUAUUUUUUUGUAGACAUUGUGUCAAAAAAUAAGGUUUUGUUGCUGUCAGAUUCUACUUGUAAAUAUGUAAAUAACAUUAACUGGCUGGAAUGCAAUGCUAUAUCUGGUGCUAAUAUAUACACUCUUCAUCAAUUUGUAAAAGACAACAAAUCACUUUUAAGAAAAUACACACAUUUGUUAUUGCAUGUAGGCACAAAUGAUGUUGGGAAUGGUUUAUCCAGUAAAUUGAUUAUUCAAUAUUAUAAUAAUUUAAUUGAUUUUAUUUGCAAUGUUUUUCCUUCUUUAAAGAUAAUAGUUUCAGCAAUUUUGCCAAGACCUAUAGAUUUUGAUGACACAAAACAAACUGUAAUAGAAUGUAAUAAAGCUUUGGCUAAGCUUACUUUAAAGAGAAAUAUUUUAUUUGUCAAAACUUAUAAGCAAUUUGUUCAGCAACCAGGAUCUAUUUAUAAAAGUAAAUGUUUUUGUAAAGAUAGAUUACACUUAAGUUAUUUUGGUGUUUCAGUUUUAAGAAACUUUUUUAUAGGUGUAGUUAAUCAUUUGUAAUUAUACAAUGUUGUAUUUAAAUGUUUUUUUUUUUUCAAGAUACUUUGUGGUUUUUAAUUUUAUUUUUCAGAAGAUGAUGGUCAAGAAAGCUGGGCUAGACCAUUACUUCUACAUCUGGUUUACCUGUGAACCUAUAUUAGUUUGCAGGAUUCCAGAAGUAACUGUUGUUGUAUGUAUUAUCAGAUAAUGCAGAUUGAUGAAUUUGAUGUCUGUUUGGGAAGUGACUGGUGCAUUUAUAUAUUUUGGAAAUUAAUAUUUAUCAAGAAUAUGGACUUUAAAUGAGAAAUUUAUUUAUGACAUAUGUAUGAUUGUAAAUUGUUAUUUAUGCCAAAAUAUGAUUAUCAUUACUUA